AUGUUCGGCUGCUCGCGGAGCGCCGAGGACACGCGCGUCUCCGCCGACGCCUUGCGGGCAAUCUGCCGAACGGGUGCCGCGCGCCACGCGCUGUCCCCGGCCUGCUACAACUUCGCGCUCAGGUCGCUCGCGCGCUUCGACAUGACGGAGGAGAUGGAGAGGGUCUACUCGCAGCUCGUCGGGGACGGGCUGCUGCCGGACACCAAGACGUACAACGCCAUGAUUAAGUCCUACUGCAAGGAGGGUGACCUCCCCAAGGCGCACCGGUACUUCAAGCUGUUGCUGGAGUGUGGGCUGGAGCCGGACACGUUCACAUGUAACGCGCUGGUGCUGGGUUACUGCCGGACGGGCAACCUGAGGCGGGCCUGCUGGCUGUUGCUGAUGAUGCCGCUGGUCGGUUGCCAGAGAAAUGAGUACUCCUACACCAUUUUGAUUCAGGGCCUGUGCGAGGCGCGGCGUGUAAGGGAGGCACUCGUGCUGUUUUUGAUGAUGAGGGGUGAUGGGUGCUCCCCAAAUUCACACACAUACAUGUUCCUGAUCGGCGGCCUAUGUAAGGAGGGCAGGGUUGCUGACGCCAGGAUGUUGCUUGAUGAGAUGUCUCGGGGAGGUGUUGCUCCAAGUGUUAUGACAUAUAAUGCAAUGAUCGUAGGCUACUGUAAGGCAGGAAGGAUGCAGGAUGCAUUGGGGAUUAAGGAGCUGAUGGAAGGAAAUGGGUGCCACCCGAAUGAUUGGACAUACGGCACUUUAAUUCAUGGCCUCUGUGAUGGGAAGAUGGAUGAAGCUGAGCAAUUGCUGGAUAGUGCUGUUAAAGGAGGUUUUACACCUACGGUUGUCACAUUCACUAUCCUGAUCGAUGGGUACUGCAAAGCUGAAAGGAUUGAUGAUGCACUCAGGGUGAAAAAUAAUAUGAUGCUGAGUAAGUGUAAACUUGAUAUACAUGUUUAUGGGAAGUUGAUCAAUAGCCUCAUUAAGAAGGAUAGGUUAAAAGAGGCGAAGGAGUUGUUAGCUGAAAUUUCGGCAACUGGUUUGGUUCCAAAUGUGUUCACCUACACAUCUGUAAUUGAUGGCUUUUGCAAGAUUGGGAAGGUUGAUUUCGCACUAGAGGUCUUGAAAAUGAUGGAACGCGAUGAUUGCCAGCCAAAUACAUGGACCUACAACUCUCUGAUGUAUGGGUUAAUUCAGGAUAAGAAACUUCACAACGCAAUGGCGCUGAUAACUAAAAUGCAAAAAGAUGGAAUACUUCCCAACGUUAUCACCUAUACCGCUUUGGUUCAAGGCCAGUGCAAUCAGCAUGAAUUUGAUAAUGCUUUCAGGUUACUUGAAAUGAUGGAGCAGAAUGAUCUGACACCCGAUGACCAAUUAUACGGCAUCUUAACUGGUGCACUGUGCAAAGCUGGAAGGGCUGAAGAAGCUUAUUCAUUUCUUGUUAGAAAAGGAGUAGCCCUAACCAAGAUACUCUAUACUAUUUUAAUUGAUGGGUUCAGCAAGGCAGGCAAAAGUGACAUUGCCGCCACCCUCUUAGACAGCAUGAUUGGUGAGGGCUGCACACCAGAUUCGUACACGUAUAGUGUACUGCUGCAUGCUUUAUGCAAAGAAAAGAAGCUGCAGGAAGCUUUGCCGAUACUGGAUCAAAUGACUCAAAGGGGAAUAAAAUGUACCAUUUUUGCUUAUACAACUCUAAUCAACGAAAUGCUCAGAGAAGGGAAGCAUGACCAUGCUAAAAGGAUGUACGAUGAAAUGGUUUCAUCAGGUCACAAGCCAAGUGCAACCACAUAUACUGUAUUCAUUAACUCAUUCUGCAAGGAAGGUCGAGUGGAGGAGGCUGAGAACUUAAUUGUGGAAAUGGAGAGAGAAGGUGUUGCCCGUGAUGCAGUGACCUACAACACAUUCAUUGAUGGCUGUGGGAAUAUGGGAUAUAUUGAUCGUGCAUUUCAUACUCUGAAGCGCAUGAUGGAUGCAUCAUGUGAGCCAGAUUAUGCGACCUACUGCAUUCUGCUCAAGCAUCUUCUAAAAGAGAAUUUUAAUUUCCGUUAUGCAGACACCUCCGGCAUGUGGAACUUCAUAGAGUUGGAUACUGUUUGGCAGUUUCUUGAAAGGAUAUCAAAACAUGGUUUGAAUCCCACAAUAACGACAUACAGUUCUCUCAUUGCAGGAUUCUGCAAAGCCAACCGCAUUGAAGAAUCAUGUAUUCUUUUUGAUCAUAUGUGCAGUAAAGAUAUACCACCUAAUGAAGAGAUAUACAAAUUACUUAUCAAGUGCUGUUGUGAUACCAAGUCCUUUGAGAAGGCCUCUUCAUUUGUGCACAACAUGAUACAACACAGGUUUCAGCCUCAUCUUGAAUCAUACCAGCUUCUUAUACUGGGACUUUGUAACGAGGGAGAAUUUGAGAAGGCUAAAUCACUGUUCUGUGACUUGCUUGAACUGGGCUAUAAUCAUGAUGAAGUUGCAUGGAAAAUUCUAAAUGAUGGUUUGCUCAAAGGUGGUUAUGUUGAUAUAUGUUCUCAGAUGCUGUCUACCAUGGAGAAUAAACACUGUUCCAUAAGUUCUCAGACACAUGCUAUGGUGACCAAUGGCUUGCAUGAGGCAUCUGGCAGUCUGGUUGGUGAACUCCGAGGAGAAGCUCUUUGA
RNAcentral lists this ribosomal RNA (2628 nucleotides) under Triticum aestivum (bread wheat). Its description in RNAcentral is "partial small subunit ribosomal RNA". The record is from RNAcentral. Lineage: Eukaryota; Viridiplantae; Streptophyta; Magnoliopsida; Poales; Poaceae.